RNAcentral lists this ribosomal RNA (429 nucleotides) under Bacteroidota bacterium. RNAcentral's name for it is "Bacteroidetes bacterium partial 16S ribosomal RNA". It matches the Rfam family "Bacterial small subunit ribosomal RNA", at positions 355 to 776 of the family's 1533-position model. The record is from RNAcentral. Lineage: Bacteria; Pseudomonadati; Bacteroidota.
UAGGGAAUCUUCCGCAAUGGACGCAAGUCUGACGGAGCAACGCCGCGUGAGUGAAGAAGGAUUUCGGUUCGUAAAACUCUGUUGUUAGAGAAGAACAGCGCAUAGAGUAACUGUUAUGCGUGUGACGGUAUCUAACCAGAAAGCCACGGCUAACUACGUGCCAGCAGCCGCGGUAAUACGUAGGUGGCAAGCGUUGUCCGGAUUUAUUGGGCGUAAAGCGAGCGCAGGCGGUCAAUUAAGUCUGAUGUGAAAGCCCCCGGCUCAACCGGGGAGGGUCAUGGGAAACUGGUUGACUUGAGUGCAGAAGAGGAGAGUGGAAUUCCAUGUGUAGCGGUGAAAUGCGUAGAUAUAUGGAGGAACACCAGUGGCGAAGGCGACUCUCUGGUCUGUAACUGACGCUGAGGCUCGAAAGCGUGGGUAGCAAACAGG